Molecule: long non-coding RNA, 4331 nt
Filed under: Salvia miltiorrhiza (redroot sage)
Lineage: Eukaryota; Viridiplantae; Streptophyta; Magnoliopsida; Lamiales; Lamiaceae
Description: long non-coding RNA (SMIL_LNC005860)
Source: RNAcentral
UCCUACAUUACAUUAGAAUCCAAACAUCAUCAUCCUACUAAUUGAAACAUAACUGCAAACACCGAAAACAAGCAAGUUACACCAUCUGCAAUAUUAGAAUAUUUCAAGUAUCAAUUUAUAAAAUUUAUUAACCUUAUAUCUCAAAAAUAUUAAAAAAUUAACUUUAUAUAAAACUUACCCAUCAUCACUCAUCUGUGAUUUUACAUACAAAUUCUGCCCACUCUAUCCUUACUUCAUCAAUUUCCUUUUUGGAGUAGCAUCCUCCUGCAAACUAUAAGAAAGACAAACUUGUGAUCAAAUAUGAAAUUAUAGAAAUUGUAUUGAAGUAAAAUUUAAUAAAAAUUAUAAAUUACAAUUACCAGUGUAGUUAUUGGGAGAGAGUGAUCAGAUACAAUAUUAUCAAUAACAUCUCGCAUGUAUCGCAUAACAUAGAAUUCAAAUACGAAUUCAAACUUCAUAGCAAUGAAAUUAUUGUGUAUAGAAAAUACCAUUAAUUAGCUAGACUUUUUUUUUUUGACAGAUAGCUAGACUUUUUGUUAAAAAGAUAUAUAUCCUCAUUUUAUUAUAAAAUCUCAUAUAUAAAAAUUACUCCAUAUUCUAUAAUGUGAAACAAAAGAUGAAAUGAAAAAUAUAGAGCAUAAAAGAGACAAGAAUUCGCAUUUAUACAGCUAUGUAUACACGAUUAAUUAUGCCGUUCUUGAUUUGCUGAUCGUUUAACUAAUUAUGUUAUUAUUUCACAAUAUGUAACAAUUUUAAGACACAGGUGAAUUAAACAACUUAACUCGGACGAAAGAUCUGUAUAACAGAGAGCAACAACACCAACUCACAUAUUGCAAAUCCCCAAUCCAAUGAUCUAAACAGAAUUUCUAAUUCAUCAUCAAAGGUGGUUUUUAGCCUCAAGAUUUGCGGGCCAAAGUGGGACAGUAGAAACUCCCCAAUCCUACAGUGAAGUAGUUCAAGUAAAAAAAAAGUGCACGUAGGUACAAGAACUUGUAGGAAAACAGAGCACUGGAUUUUCUUGAAUGCUGAGAAAGGCAAACAAAGAACUAAGAUUACAAGAUUAUAGUGACAAAGUAAACAAAACAAAUGUUAUUAUUACCUCUAGUUGUGCAACAGGGGCAGAAUCCUCGAAGAACUCGAGGCUCCAGUCAGCAAAGUAAUUAACCUGCAUUGCGUUAAGGAAAAUCUUUAAUAUUUUACAUGAGCAGAACCUCAAAAGAGUUCACAUCCAUUCAGAAAAUAGACAACUUUCACACAAGAUAUCAUUCAGUUCGAACAAUGAGGAAAAGGAAAUCAAAAUGUAUCGCAUAAUCCAGAUCUCACAUUCUAUUAGCCAAAUUUUAACUUCAUUCCUUGUUCAUAAACAAUGAGGAUCGAAAAAGGUAUCAGGAUACAUAGGAAACCAAAAAAAGAAAGAAUAAGAAAUUCAAUUACCUACUGAUUCUUCGAUGAGGCGUAAGAAGAGAUAUGGUCUGGUCUUGAAAGGAUAAUAAUGGCUGCCAAAUGUAGUUGUGGUGGUGAUUCUGACCGGCAGCUCCGGCUUGGAUAUGGCAGCUAACUGUUAGAUUNACAAUUUUUCUAUAUUUUUUGUCUCCGGUGAAGCUCCGAGCUGACGUGCCGCUUACGUGGUAAUACCAAGCUGACCUGUCGCCUACAUGGUAAUACCGAGCUGAUGUGGCCCGUAACUUGGAAAAACAAUAAACAAAAAAUAAAAAAAAAUCAUUAUGUUCCCUCCCCCUUCUCCAAGUCGGCCGGUGGACCGCUGCCAAAGGACCGCCGCUGCCCUUCUUCCGGCGGAAUACCACCUCCGCCUUCCUCCUUCUCGCGUCGUUCCAGACCUCACGCCGCCUCCCACAAUCACUAGAUCAGUCGCCUUCCUCUUCCGCCGCAUCGAACCCCCCUCUACCGCCCUCUCCCUCUCCACCCGACCUCGCGCCGCCUUUCAUCGCUCUGGCGAGAUUAAGGAAUGAGAGAUUUGGAAAACUAGGGCUCUGCAAAACUGAGGGCAGGGGCGGUCCGGUGGGCGGCUCUUCGCCGGAGUUCAGAGAGGAGAAGACGGGGGCUAGAAUUUGAGGUAAAACGACGUCGUUUUAUGCCCAACUAAACGACGUCGUUUUGGUUCCCGUCCGGCGGUGCCAUAUCAUUUUUCAGGUCACUCAAAAAUGCCAUGUCAGCACUCAAUUUGGGGAUUUUCAAAAAUCAUGGAAAAAUUGUUCAACCCCUUAAGUUCAGGGAAUUUUUUAUAAAAAAAAAGUUCAUGGCAAGUUUGGAAAUCCGACCAAAGAUCAUGGUUUUUGGGUAAUUAAUCCUAUUUUUAAGUAUAACAAAAUUAAUUUAGCUAAAUUAAAUUUUAUUACAUGUAAAAAUAUAAAUGUUUUUACUAAAAAUAUAAUAAAUUUUGUGAGAUUUAUUCAUAUAUAUAUAUAUAACUAAAUUUGCUACAUCUGAAGCUAGCUAUCAAAAAUAUUUUUGUUGCACAUAAAUGUCACAAUAUAUUUUUGAUCUCUCUCCCCCUCUCUCAAACACACACACACACAAUUCUUAUUAUAUUACUUUACUACUAAUAAAAUUAAUUUUCUCAAAACACUAGUUAAAAAUAUGUUGUCCUACAAAAUAUAGCUACACUUUUUUAUAUAUCAUAAAUAGAAAAUAAUCUACAUCUUUACGUGUCAUAAGAUUAUGUAUGCCCUCAAAAGUCACUAAAUUUUGUGACAUGCAUGCUUUUAUUUUUGUGACACACAUAACACCUAAUCAUCUCAAGAUGUAACAAUAUUAAUGAUAUUUAUAAAUCUUACAAUUCUUCAAAAUUAUAUAGUUGUGUCAUGCACUGAGAACAUCAAACGAAACAACAUGUUCAAAUAAAUAAACAUAAAUUAUUAAAUAUAAUCAAAAUAUAAGCAAAUGCAAAGUAUGCUUGAAAAAUAAAACAAAAUAUACUCUAUAAAAAUCCGAAAUUGAAAACGUAAAUUUAUGAUUUUGCAUAAAUUGUAAUGGUAAUUGUAGUUAUUAAACAAUUGAAAAUUAUUUGAUAAUGAAAAUUAGCAUUACACAACAUCAUCAUCAUCAUCAUAGAGUUUAUUACUUAAUAAAUAAAUAUUUUAAUACACAACCAUAACUAAAAACUCAUAUUUGAAAUUAUAGUUUUAAUACAUAUAAUUACUCAUUACAAAGUUAUAUUAAAAUAAAUACAAAAAUAUCAUUUUUAAAAAAGAGUUAUACAAUGAACCACUACAAAACAAACGCUAAUAGACAACGAUCAGAACACGUUGUCUAUUACAAAAUCAAUUGUUGUAAAUGAGAGUAUUGUCUAUUGAGGGGCGGUCAUAGACAACGGUCUAGCCGUUGUCUGUUCUCUCAUAGACAACGUCUUGGCGUUUGUUGUCUAUUCUGUGAUAGACAACAUGCGAAAACCCGUUGUCUAUUCUCUGAUAGACAACGCCUGAUCAUUCGUUGUCUAUUCCCUUAUAUACAGCAAGUUCUUGAUCGUUGUCUAUUCUAUAUUACAGUUUUUAUUUUGCAUUUUUAUUUAAAAUUUCCUGUUUUUUCAAUUUAUAUUUCAAUAAAUCUAAAAAUAUAAUAUGAAAAGCUAAAAAUACAUAAAUUAAUAAUAAAAUUCAUACAUUAUAAUCCAUCAUCAUCAUUCUACAUUACAAUACAAUCCAACAUCAUCAUCCCUACAUUACAUUAGAAUCGAAACAUCAUCAUCCUAGUCCUACAUUACAUUAGAAUCCAAACAUCAUCAUCCUACUAAUUGAAACAUAACUGCAAACACCGAAAACAAGCAAGUUACACCAUCUGCAAUAUUAGAAUAUUUCAAGUAUCAAUUUAUAAAAUUUAUUAACCUUAUAUCUCAAAAAUAUUAAAAAAUUAACUUUAUAUAAAACUUACCCAUCAUCACUCAUAUGUGAUUUUACAUACAAAUUCUGCCCACUCUAUCCUUACUUCAUCAAUUUCCUUUUUGGAGUAGCAUCCUCCUGCAAACUAUAAGAAAGACAAACUUGUGAUCAAAUAUGAAAUUAUAGAAAUUGUCUUGAAGUAAAAUUUAAUAAAAAUUAUAAAUUACAAUUACCAGUGUAAUUAUUGGGAGAGAGUGAUCAGAUACAAUAUUAUCAAUAACAUCUCUCAUGUAUCGCAUAACAUAGAAUCCACACUGUUUCCCAUCAGGUUGUUGUGGACUCUGUCACAUUUAAUAAUACUAGUAAACAACUAAACAUACUAUUUAAUCCAAGUGAAACAUAAUUUUAAGGUAAUAAUUUCAUACAUCGAUCACUUCCCACAAAAGAUUCUGUCUCCCCCUUAUUCCUAUGCUCAUGUUGAACAUUUUUAUGGCU